GGUUGUGUGAUGUAGAGGUCAGCAUCCUGGAUUUUGAUCUGGUGGGUCGCGCGAAGCGGCCGAGUCGAACGUUCCAGUAACCCGGGUUCGACUCCCGGCACGACCU
This 106-nucleotide transfer RNA is filed under the name Pseudozyma flocculosa. It matches the Rfam family "tRNA". From Rfam's summary of the family: Transfer RNA (tRNA) molecules are approximately 80 nucleotides in length. Their secondary structure includes four short double-helical elements and three loops (D, anti-codon, and T loops). RNAcentral also lists the same sequence under 1 other name. The record is from Rfam by way of RNAcentral. Lineage: Eukaryota; Fungi; Basidiomycota; Ustilaginomycetes; Ustilaginales; Ustilaginaceae.